GUGGAUGCUCUUUUCAGCUUGUUGCUCUGAAGCAAAACAAAGUGUGCUGCAGAUGGUCUUUCCUCCUGGUUCUGAAACUGUGAAGUGUCAUCAGUAGAGGCAGAAGCAGCUAAAGUAUGAUGGCUGUGCGCAUCAUACGUGGGAUGGAAGACCUGGUGGCAUCAGGCAGCCAGCUCGUUUGGAGUCUGGCGCAUCAGACCCUGAGGAGGUGGUACAAUCGUGGGCUGAUGCCAUGCAGACGCUUCCUAGAAGCCUGGUUCAGGAUUGGAAAAUGCUACCAGAUGACAGAGGGCCGCCUGUGUCAGGUUCACCUCCUUGAUGGCAGGAAGCUGGAGUUGCUGGUUCAGCCCAAGCUGUUGUCCCGUGAGCUGUUAGAUUUGGUGGCCUCACAUUUUAACCUGAAGGAAAAAGAAUACUUUGGGUUGUCUUACAUAGAUGACACUGGCCAGAAUAACUGGCUCCACAUGGAUCGUAAAGUCCUUGAUCAUGACUUCUCCAAGACUUCGGGGCCUUUGGAACUCAAGUUCCUGGUGAGGUUUUAUAUUGAGAAGAUCACUUUUUUGAAAGACAACACAACAGUGGAGCUGUUCUUCCUGAACGCUAAAUCUUUAGUGUUCAAUGAGACCAUCGAAGUGGAGAGUGAAAAUGUUUUCAAGUUAGCCGCAUUCGCAUUGCAGGAGGCCAAAGGAGAAUACACCAGUGCUGAGAUUGCCAGAUUAGACCUAAAGCAGCUCCCAGUUCUGCCCACCAGAGUGUUAAGGGAGCACCCAUCUCUCAAUUACUGUGAGGACAAAGUGAUUGAACAUUACAAGAAACUGAAGGGACUAACCAGAGGAAAAGCUAUUGUGCAGUAUUUGGCCCUGGUGGAGUCCCUGCCUACAUACGGAGUCCAUUAUUACCCAGUCAAGGAUAAGCAAGGAAUACCGUGGUGGCUGGGAGUCAGCUAUAAAGGCAUUGGCCAGUAUGAUUUGCAGGAUAAACUGAAACCGAGAAAGUUGUAUCAGUGGAAGCAGUUAGAGAAUUUGUAUUUCCGCGAGAAGAAAUUUGCCGUGGAAGUGAACGACCCUCACAGAAGAACAGUGACCAAGCGAACUUUUGGACAGACUGGUCUGGUUAUUCACACGUGGUAUGCCAGCCACUCUCUGAUUAAAACCAUCUGGGUGAUGGCCAUCAGUCAGCACCAGUUCUACCUGGACAGAAAGCAAAGCAAAUCAACAAUGACCACAACCAGGAGUUCAGGAGACAUCGCCAUGGACCUAACAGAGAUCUGUGCCCCGCGUAUCAGUAAACUUUCCAGCACUGAGAGCAGAGACCAGCUUAUCAUGGCCAGCAACGGAAGCCUGAUCUCAGCUGGUUCUGCUGACUCUGAAGUCAAUGAGGAACAGAAGAAAGAGAAGGUUGCUGAGUUGAAAAAGAAAGAGAAGGACCUUAAAGACACACUGACACAGAAACUUGAGGAACUGAAAAAGAUCUGCAUGAGAGAAGCUGAACUUACUGGCAGAUUGCCUAAAGAGUAUCCCUUGGCCACAGGUGAGAAAGCUCCUCACAUACGGCGCCGGGUUGGGACAGCCUUCAAGCUGGAUGACCUUUUCCCCUAUGAUGAGGACCCAUAUCUGAGGAAUCUGGAGAGCAGGUUUGCCUUGCAGCAGAAGAUUGUGGAAGCAGCCAUGAAGUUAUCCAAUGAGGGUGACCUCUGCAAGACAGUGAAGAAAAAGAGGAGAAACAACUGUCUGGAUGCGAUGAGGAAGUUGGAGGAGAUCGAAAGGGAGAUCAACGCCUACAGAAUCAAGAAAGGAAGGAAACCCACCCAGAGAGCCUCACUCAUCUUAGCAGAUGACGUCAACCCUUCAGACCUCAGCUCUCUAUCUGACAGCCUCACUCUGGAUGACGAUGAUGAGCUCAGUAACCAGAGACAGCGGUCCAGAUCGGUUCAGUAUUCCCCAAGACCACACCAUGCAGAAACUCUGGACAUCCACUACAACAAUGGCAGACGGGACUCGGCCAAUGAUGAGCAUGCAGACAGCAGAUUAUAUUACGGCCAAGUCCAGGAAUCUCUCCACUACAGUCACCAUACUGCCUUAUCAAGCCACAGCAGCCCGUUUAAACCGGCUUCCAGACAGCCACGUGAUGCCUGCAGCAUGCCCCCCACCCCCCUCCUUUCCCGCAACGCCCACAGCAGCACUCAACUCAGAUCAGAGGAUGCUCCUCAACAUUUCCGCCAGCGUAGCGGUAGUCUGGAGUACCAGUCUCAGCUCCUGACAGAGACAGAACCUCCUGUACCAACGUUGACCUUCUCCCCAGCCCGACGCAGCAACAGCACUGAGGUCCUCGAUGACGGCUCCUCCUACACAAGCCAAUCCAGCGUAGAGUACAGUAUCCCUGGUAACCACACGCAUAGGCGCAGAGCUCGCGGUCGCCACAGAAAGGACGUGUAUGCCAACACAGGUAGCAUGCCUAACCUGGCUCAGCCCGACACCCGCUGCUACGCCUACCAGCCACAGGCCAGACCCACCACAACAGCCUACUAUGUGACGGGUUAUCCCAGCUACGCAGAACCAGAGCCUUACUCUAAUGGAGUCUACAUGUACGGCAAUGAGAUGGAGGGACACUACAACGUCAAUCCUCCAUACAACUCCACCCCAACAGCUUAUCACAGCCACGACUUCCACAGUCACUAUGGUAUCGACGAGAUAGACAGCAUGUCGCAGAACCCGUACGCCACGCUGCGGCCACCCAGGAACCGCCAGGUGCCCCGCAGCAGCGAGCAGGUCGGCAAGAACAUCCAGAAGGCUUUGGUGGCUGAACACUUGAGAGGCUGGUACCAUCGUAAUGCUGCACACAAACAGGCAGCAUACAACUAUGACUAUGACAGAGGCUCCCAGCAGAGCCUGGGCUGUCAUACCAUGCCUGCACCCAACAGCCACAACAACAGGAACAUCUACUCCUCAGCGUCCUCUAGUGUAAACUGGCACAACCACAUGAGUGGUGGUGGUAUGUUGGAAUAUGACAUGCCCAUGCACGCGCCGCAGACCUACUCUUACAGUACAGCCCCCUACAGCCACUCCGCCCACAACAGAUAUGGCUCCUCACAGCUCUUUAAGGGUUCCCAGUACAGCCCUGAUGGCCAGAGACGCUGUGCCUUUUCCCCUGCUAGUUCUUCCUCCUCAGCUUCCUCCUCCAUCUCCUCCCUACCCUCCUCCUCCUUUACCUCCUCCUACUCCCCCGGCUGCCGGGUCAGACAGGUGCCCUCCAGCCCUGCACAGCCACAAUCCUCCAGAGGGCACAGGCUCAGUAAGGUGUCCUUUGCUAAAGAUGUCCCCCCGAGUUUGAGUGGCGGAGCAGUGAUAGGAUGGCGUGCCCUGUGGGGCCUUUAGAGAGGUGUGGUGCUGUUGCCUAUGCUACUGACCAAGAAAAUUAACCCCCUCCCCUCAAUUAUCAGUCUCAGCAAAGAAGAAAGGAUCCUACAUAGAUGUCAGCCAAAUGGACUCACACACCAGUAACCAAAUGCACACUAACCUGGAACCUGAGGAGCAGAUUUACUGGCAUGAAGACUCCAAACCGGGAACAAUAGUGUAGUUGCCUGUCUCUCAAUGUGCUGUAUAAACUUUCACCUUGACAAGUUGUCAUUGUGCCUUAGAUUGCACUUACCUGUUCUGUUCAAGAAGAUCCAACAAAUGAAGGAACGGGACCUAUCUGUCGGAUUCAGCGUGUAAAGGAAACAAAGCGCUCUCACUUUCUGUUCUCUUGAAUGCAAUUGCCAAACUGACCGACAACUACUUUGUGUUUUAAAUCAUAACACAUCUUCAUGUCUGGAUUGCAAGUUUGUGGUGACGGCACUUGUGAACUGAAGCUGAACCAGGACCUUAGGUGGACUAAACUUCUCCAGUGGUUUACUGACGACAUGCAGACUUCACAAACCAAGGACUAGUACCGUCUCUGUGAGAAGACACUGAGCCACAAUGAACAAAGCUCUGCGCACAUGUAUGAACAGUGUAACAAUGAAGGAUUGGACAAGGACUUACAGCAUAAGGACAUUAUCACAAUGAAGGAUUUAACUCAUUAAAAAUGAGUCCAAAAGGUGGCUACUUCCUGUAGCAUUCUGCAGUCACCCCUCUAGUUUUAUCAUUGCAUAGCUUGUGUCUACCACACUGUACUUUAGUUUGUCAUUUACAAAGUAUUCAAUCUAUCUCAUGGUCAGUGCUUACAGUACAAUUGAGCCAAAUAUAUGUCACCAUUUGAGUAUUACCCAAAGUCCCAAACUUUGAUAUCACUGCCACAUCUGAUAAGUCACUGCAGGAUUACCGAAAAUCCAGUUUUAUUUUUUAUUUUAACAUGGUUAUUUAUCCAUGCUGGAAAUCAUGGACUGGUGCUCCCAAUUUCUCUUAAGAGAAUCGAGCUGUAUGUAUAUGUUGAUAUUGUAAAUACACUGGUUCUGUCUUUUUUAGAGGAUUUUUUAUGUAUUUGAGAAGCAUGUAAUAUAUAGUAAACAACUGUUGUUAAGCUGGUUCUUAGUAAUUUGUAUAAUUGCAUUUGUUUGAAUUAAAAGAAAAUCAGCAUUUGAAACAGUU
Molecule: RNA transcript, 4568 nt
Organism: Etheostoma cragini (Arkansas darter)
Lineage: Eukaryota; Metazoa; Chordata; Actinopteri; Perciformes; Percidae
Gene: frmd4ba
Gene name: FERM domain containing 4Ba
Exons: 25
Source: RefSeq, a predicted model, not a curated record